CAUAUAUCAGCCAUACUUUCUCAGAUCUCCUUGAGCUGUUUAAAAACUUCGUGUUUCAGUGAGUAGCAGUCACGUAUAUUAGCCUAUAGUUAUUUGGUUACUCCGAUGUGGGGAUCAGACACGGCAGAAGGCAUGAAAUGUUGUUGAUAUGUCUCUAGGAAACUCAUGUAUUUGGUGCUGAGCCACGUAAAGUCAAAGUAGUUUCAGUGGAAGAGGGAGAAGAUGUUGCUCUGCUUAGUGGUGAGACUGAAAUAAAGAGGAGUGAUAACAUACUGUGGAUGUUUGGAGACCAUCGCACACUCUUAGCUGAAAUCCAUUUAAAGAACAAAGUCUUCGAAACGUAUGACGAUGGGAGAUUUGGCAGCAAUCUGGAGCUGGACAGAUAUACUGGAUCUCUCAUCAUCAGAAACACCAAAUCCACACACUCUGGAGUUUAUCAUAUGAAGAUUAUCAAAAAAAGCGCAACCGUAUACAAGAGAUUCCAGGUCAAAGUCAGAGGUGGUGAAAAGCCAAAACCUCCCAUCAAAAAACCAUGGGAAACCCUUCCAAUACAUGAUAUCGUAAAAAUGGUUAUGUCCUUCAUGUUUGCAGGACUGAUUGGAGUCGUACUCAUUACAUGCUGUUUCUGGUGUAUGUGAAAAAAAUGAGUUUUCUAUUUAUCUUGUGACUAGUUUGUUGUUGAAAGAAAGUGCAACCUUGUUAAUCAUUUGUUCACUGAUAAUUUGGUUUGGUAUUUUAACUAAUCAAGUAAAAUUUUUAUAUUUUCUUGUGUUUUAAGUGUCCAAGUAUGUUUUAGAGCCAUAAAUAAAUAAUAAAUAAAUAAAUAAUUAAAUAAG
Molecule: long non-coding RNA, 836 nt
Organism: Ctenopharyngodon idella (grass carp)
Lineage: Eukaryota; Metazoa; Chordata; Actinopteri; Cypriniformes; Xenocyprididae
Exons: 4
Source: RefSeq, a predicted model, not a curated record